UUUUUGAGGCUGUUUGGCUACACGUUGUUACCAAUUAAGCAAAAAACUAACAAGAAAUUCUGAUUAAUAGAUUUAUAGUUUUGUCGCCACAAUUCUGUAUAGGUUAAUAGAUAUUCAGCAUCUGGAAUUCCAUUAACGUGACUACAACGACCUAGAAAUUAUGAUUCGUGUGUACUUUAGGUUUAUGCCCAACCUCAUUUACUGUCCAUUUGGCGGAAUCGGUGAGAAAAGAAAAGAAAUUGUUGUGCUUUGAUUAAGAAAAGAAGAGAAAUUGUAGUGCUUUGAUUUAUUUACCAGUUAAAGAUGUUGGGAUGCUAGUCAUUUUUGUAAUGUUCAUAUUGACGUGUACAAAAAAAUUUUAAAAGCAAAUAGAUGUAUAAACGAAAUGGGUUCUGUAUCUAUAAUGGUGACCCUAGAUAUCAAAAUGGGUUGAUUCUUUUUUUUUCUUUUUUCUUUCCCAUUUCUGUGUUCUUCAGGACAUUUGGUGGUGUGGGUUGUUGGCCUGGUGCUUGAAUUUGGUUUUGUAAAACUUUGAAACAUCAUCAUAGUGCGAUUUUUUUUUCUUGGUUUGUCAAGGUUCUGUAUCUAUAGUGGUAACCAUGGCUAUCAAAAUGGCUGGUUUAUUCAUUUUCCCAUUUUUUGAGUUCUGUUUUGUGUUUCUGUGUUUUAAAUUCUAAACUGUGCGGACUGUGAUAUUCUUGCUUUGAGCAUUGGUAACAUUUCUAGGUCGAAUAGAUGCUUGAAUGCAAAUGAUGUCGGUCGGAUUGAAAGCAAGUAGAGCCGCUUGAGAAUUUAACCAGUUUUGAAAGUGUGUUUGAAAACUUAAAAAGUUUAAAAAGUGUAUUUUGGCAACCCGAAGUCGAGUAACUUGGUUCAUCUGACAGUCCUAUAUGUUGGGGCCUAGUAUUAGGAUGGAGCAAUGAAUACAUCUCCCUCAUGUUUACGGGCUUAUAUAGUAAGAAGCCAAUAGACACAAAUCCUACUCAUGAUCCAACCAACUCCUUGACUAGAUUAUGUUCACUAUGUAUAUGUCUAAGAGCUUGAAUGGGCCGUCUGUCGAGUUAGGUCUGCGCGUUAAAGCACCAUCAAGUUCUGUUAUCAGUCUCAUGAGCCUAAUUUUGGAAUCAUUGGUGGAAUGCCUACAACUUCAAAAUAUUAUCCCUUUAAAGGACCCUGAUUCACAGAAAUGUGUAAUCAAAUGUGAGGGCUUUGGCUGUGUUACUGUAUGUCGCUUACCAUUUUACAUGACAUAAAUCUGCUCUCUUUUGUCCACUGUUGAUUCAAGCUUUGGGUUUGAAUUCUGUCAUUUUAAAUAGAUUAACCAUUAGCUCAAAAGCCAAGUACCAUUUUUAUCUACCAUCCUGCCAUAUUGUAAAAGACACUUUCCUUAACUUCUUGUUUCUUAAUUUUUUUUGUCUUGUUGAAUAGUUUAACUUGAGACUUGUGUGUGCAUUACAUAGGUUUGCUACCUCCAUUAACUCACAAGUACCAUGCUUCCCUACCAUCCUAUCCUUAUUCUAGACGACUUAAACUUGGCCCAGAUUUGAUGCAGGAUUGUGGUGUGACACCAGUUGGUAGACAAGAAUGAUAAACCCGAAGUUCAACAAGCUUGAAACCGAUUUUUUGCAUCCAUCAGAAUACCAACCCAAAAUAAGGCCUCGAGACACCGCCGAUGUUUGGCCAGAUUUCAGAUUGUUUGUUCUAGCAGUUCUACCAAUAUGGCUUCCACCACUCCUCCAGCAACAACAUUCAAACACUAUCCUUACUCCUCCAACACAACCUUCAAAUACCAUGCAACUUGAAAUUUCCAAACUUGUGCAAACUUCCAUAUUCAGACAACAAUAACGCUACUGCUGCUGAGAAUUUGGCACAUUAAUGAAUUUGGCACAACACUGCUAAACUAACUUUAAAGCUGCUUUUGUUCAUUUAGGUUGAUCCUUAAUUUAGGUCUCCAAGUUUCAUAAAACUGUAAGCUUGGCUCAUGUUUCAUUUCUGUUUUUCAGUUGUUUUUCGGCAGAAUAACUUCUUUUUAAACACGGAAGGGUAAGAGAGUAAUUCCACUUACCACCCCCGAUAGGCAAUUGAGUUUAAGUUUGUGUGCGUGCGUGUGUUUAAGAGGGUCCUCAUACCCCUCCCUAGCAGGCAGAAUAACUUGUUGUGUCACUGUUUUGUUUGGUUCAUCUGAUAUUUGUUUUGGGGGAGGCUGACACUCAGAUUCUACCUGGCUCUGAGCUUGUUGCAAGUUAAUUAUGUCAUGAAGAGCUCGUAAACGCUUUAAUGGUUAACAGCUUACGCUUUGCUGCUUGACUUAGUAAUUUUUGCAAUCCUUGCUGUAGGAGAUUGAGAGAACUCACUUGAAUUGCUUCCCUAAAGUUGGAGAGAUCAGGGCAGAUGGAUUAAUGAUGAAACAAAAGAGGGACAAAGAGAAUUCCGCACCUGAACUCUGUACUUCAAUUGGCUUUUGGAAGGGUCCAUCUUUCAAAGAAACGGAAGAGGGUAUAGAAAAAUUACUUUCUACAUCCUACAGUGGAAGGGCUUGAGCAAAGCCUCGGUGUUGGAAAUGAAGGAGAUAUUGCUACAGAGAAAACUUUUUGCUUCUAUUACUAAAGGUGAUCAGAAUGAGGCUCGAAAAUCAAGUGCAUUAUUGGAGAACCCUAGUGAGACAUUUUCAGAAACUGUGUCAGUUUCAGGCGUCAUGAUGAAAUACUUUUCUGACUAUGAGGAGGUGACAUUUUGUUCUAAUUAUACAGCUAGAGCUUACAAAAGUUGACAUAGAGAGUAAAUGAAGGCUGCGACAGAUGAUAGUUGGUUAGAGGCAAAAGCUAGUGCAAUGCCACAGUUUACACCCAAAACUCCUCCAAGAAGUUUUCUUUCUAUGUUGCCUACUGAUCUAAGUUGCAAAACCUCGAGGAAUAACAUUAAGAGACCUGAUGUUGGUAAGCGUCUUGUCGUGGCCUCAAAUAAGCUUGGUAUUUCUGUAAGUAUGCGAAAAUCCGCCGCUGGUCUUUGUGGCCGUAGAGAUCGAAAAUUACUGGUGCCCAAAUCUUCUUCCCUUGUUAGAAGCAUACUCUUUGAAGUUGGUAGUUCUUAACUUCUUAUAAGGAGUCCGGAGGAUUCACACAAAGAACCUCAUUGAACUAAUUAUAUAGUGCAGGGGCAGUUGUCCCUGAUCAUUGAAUAAUCUUCAUCUUGACCUUUUGCUGAUGACCUUCCUUAAUUGCGAUCGCUUCCAAGAGCAGGUAAGAGAUUUUCUUGCUGGGUGGGAGCUGAAAAGAUUGAAACUUUGAGCCUUGAGGACUUCUGGACUCAGUCUCCCGUAAAUAUUUCGUUCAGUUGGAGACUCGAGACCCUUCUCAGGCUUGGCUUUUGGUUUGGGUACCAUUCCUAUGCAGUACAUUAUGCAUCAACUGAAGUGUAUCGAAAGAGUCAUUUGUGUGUUGACGAUUCCUCUUCAUCUCAAUAGCAUAUAUCCAAUUUAGAAUUUUGGUGAGACGAAUCAGUUGUUUGGAAUGAUGCUCUGGGUUGUGUGGGACUUCACCAAUCCUGUUUCUGUAUCAUUCUUUCUAUCUUUUAGUUUCUGGAUUUUGGUUUUGCGUGGUAUAGAUGGCUGGUGUUUUGUGUUGCUUGAACGCUUUUGUUGAGUUUUGUGCCUGAAAAAUGUAGGUAAUGGGGAAUGGUACCAUGAAAAUUUAGAAUUUGAUCUGGAUGUUUCUGUUGUAUAAAGUAUGGAAGUUUUUU
This is an RNA transcript of Rhododendron vialii, 3738 nucleotides long. RefSeq lists it as uncharacterized. The record is from RefSeq and is a predicted model, not a curated record. The transcript is spliced from 2 exons. NCBI's taxonomy places the organism in Eukaryota, Viridiplantae, Streptophyta, Magnoliopsida, Ericales, Ericaceae.